This 650-nucleotide ribosomal RNA is filed under the name uncultured bacterium. RNAcentral's name for it is "bacterial SSU rRNA". It matches the Rfam family "Bacterial small subunit ribosomal RNA", at positions 46 to 694 of the family's 1533-position model. The record is from RNAcentral.
GCCUAACACAUGCAGUCGAACGGUAACAGGAUUAGCUUGCUAAUCGCUGACGAGUGGCGGACGGGUGAGUAAUGCUUGGGAACUUGCCUUUGCGAGGGGGAUAACAGUUGGAAACGACUGCUAAUACCGCAUAACGUCUACGGACCAAACGGGGCUUAGGCUCCGGCGCAAAGAGAGGCCCAAGUGAGAUUAGCUAGUUGGUAAGGUAAAGGCUUACCAAGGCGACGAUCAGUAGCUGGUCUGAGAGGACGAUCAGCCACACUGGAACUGAGACACGGUCCAGACUCCUACGGGAGGCAGCAGUGGGGAAUUUUGGACAAUGGGGGCAACCCUGAUCCAGCCAUUCCGCGUGAGUGAAGAAGGCCUUCGGGUUGUAAAGCUCUUUCGCAAGAGAAGAAAACUUACUAUCUAAUAAAUAGUAAGUAUGACGGUAUCUUGACAAGAAGCACCGGCUAACUACGUGCCAGCAGCCGCGGUAAUACGUAGGGUGCAAGCGUUAAUCGGAAUUACUGGGCGUAAAGCGUGCGCAGGCAGUUUUAUAAGUCAGAUGUGAAAUCCCCGAGCUCAACUUGGGAACUGCGUUUGAAACUGUAAGACUAGAGUGUGUCAGAGGGGGGUAGAAUUCCAAGUGUAGCUGUGAAAUGCGUAGA